UACGUAGGGUGCGAGCGUUGUCCGGAAUUACUGGGCGUAAAGGGCUCGUAGGCGGCCAACUAAGUCAGACGUGAAAUCCCUCGGCUCAACCGGGGAACUGCGUCUGAUACUGGAUGGCUUGAGUUCGGGAGAGGGAUGCGGAAUUCCAGGUGUAGCGGUGAAAUGCGUAGAUAUCUGGAGGAACACCGGUGGCGAAGGCGGCAUCCUGGACCGACACUGACGCUGAGGAGCGAAAGCCAGGGGAGCAAACGGG
RNAcentral lists this ribosomal RNA (253 nucleotides) under uncultured bacterium. RNAcentral describes it as "partial 16S ribosomal RNA". It matches the Rfam family "Bacterial small subunit ribosomal RNA", at positions 524 to 776 of the family's 1533-position model. The record is from RNAcentral.